This 285-nucleotide long non-coding RNA is filed under the name Melopsittacus undulatus (budgerigar). Its description in RNAcentral is "lncRNA (ENSMUNG00000018714.1)". The record is from RNAcentral. Lineage: Eukaryota; Metazoa; Chordata; Aves; Psittaciformes; Psittaculidae.
AGCAAAUUGUUCCAGCACAGGAAAAGUCCUUGCUCUGCUGCCCUACUAUUGUCACAACACCUUUAUGCAAGGAAGAAGGUUUACAUCAGCAGAAAGACAAAAUACAACUAAAGCAAGAGAAGCCUCUGCAAGCAGUGACUGAGUCACCUUUUAAAUAUGGUGGAGAAUGUUUGUAACGUCAACCAUGAAAAUAUAAAGCUGGGAAAGAUUUCCAAGAUCAAAACCAGAAGCUGCUCUCUGAUUCUGAAAAGUGUGUGUCUUUCAUACAAGCCUUUCAUAGCCAAG